AUACAAUAUCUUCAGAUGAAUCUACUAAGGACCAAACCUUAUUGGAAUGCAUGAAGUCAAUCUCUAACUUCCUCACUUCCAUCCAUUUCUCAGAGUCUAUAUCUAACAUUGCCUCAUCAUAGGUUUUGGGAUCAUUCCUAAUGUUUCUAUCUUUCAUAAGAAAUACUUCUUCUAAAUCUUCUAUAAGAAUAUCUAAGUACCUUUCAGGAGGACGGAAGAUCUUACUUGAUCUAUG
Molecule: long non-coding RNA, 235 nt
Filed under: Elaeis guineensis (African oil palm)
Lineage: Eukaryota; Viridiplantae; Streptophyta; Magnoliopsida; Arecales; Arecaceae
Description: long non-coding RNA (EGUI_LNC040685)
Source: RNAcentral